UGUCUACAGCCAUACCACCCUGAAUACGCCUGGUCUCGUCUGAUCUUGGAAGCUAAGCAGGGUUGGGCCUGGUUAGUACUUGGAUGGG
RNAcentral lists this microRNA precursor (88 nucleotides) under Erinaceus europaeus (western European hedgehog). Lineage: Eukaryota; Metazoa; Chordata; Mammalia; Eulipotyphla; Erinaceidae. The record is from RNAcentral.